AAAUAUGGCAAACAAUGAAUG
Molecule: microRNA, 21 nt
Filed under: Triticum aestivum (bread wheat)
Lineage: Eukaryota; Viridiplantae; Streptophyta; Magnoliopsida; Poales; Poaceae
Description: tae-miR9667-5p
Source: miRBase by way of RNAcentral